CUACGGGUCGCUGCAGUGAGGAAUAUUGCACAAUGGGGGGAACCCUGAUGCAGCAACGCUGCGUGGAGGAUGACGCAUUUCGGUGUGUAAACUCCUUUUAUAUGUCAAGAAAAUGACGGUAGCAUAUGAAUAAGCACCGGCUAACUCCGUGCCAGCAGCCGCGGUAAUACGGAGGGUGCAAGCGUUACUCGAAAUCACUGGGCGUAAAGGACGCGUAGGCGGGUUGGAAAGUCAGGUGUGAAAUCCUACAGCUUAACUGUAGAACUGCACUUGAAACUUCUAAUCUAGAGUAUGGGAGGGGGAGAUGGAAUUAGUGGUGUAGGGGUAAAAUCCGUAGAUAUCACUAGGAAUACCUAAAGCGAAGGCGAUCUCCUGGAACAUUACUGACGCUAAGGCGUGAAAGCGUGGGGAGCAAACAGGAUUAGAUACCCUAGUAGUC
RNAcentral lists this ribosomal RNA (439 nucleotides) under uncultured bacterium. RNAcentral's name for it is "partial 16S ribosomal RNA". It matches the Rfam family "Bacterial small subunit ribosomal RNA", at positions 339 to 795 of the family's 1533-position model. The record is from RNAcentral.